GGGGGGUGUCUGCGGGGGAUCAUGGAGGAUCCCAUGGUGAGCUCUUCCACGGGAGCGAUGAACUCCCUCCUCGAUAAGCUGGGAGUACUGGAGAACCGGUAUCCCGACCUAGCUGAAGGCGUGCGAGAGAGCCUGAAGAGCCUAAGCGAUGUCUUGCACAGCUUUGCUAGGCAGAGGACGAGGAACUCCCUCAUCAACGAGUGGAUGCUGCAAGUCCGGGAGGUGGUGUACGACAUGGAGGACUGGAUCGACGGCGAUCCCUCCAAGGCCAAGCUGGAUGAUGUGGAGGAACAAAUCGAAGAAUUCAAGGCCCAGAUCCAAGGUGCACGGGACCGCUGCACAAGGUACGGCCUUCUCAGCAGCAUAGAGCCUAGUACUACUUGUGCACUACAAGAUGAUGCUGAAACCAGAGAAUCAGUUGCCAUGGAUCCUAAACUGCUCCAUGGGGAGGCGCCUUGCCGCCUUGUGGGCAGCGAUGAACUAAGGAAUGUUCUUGUUAACCACCUGAUGGACCAAGAAGAGCGGCGUAAGGUGGUGUGCAUCGUGGGAACCGGAGGAAUUGGCAAGUCAACUCUUGCCACGGGAAUAUACCGACAGCUCCAAGGGCAGUUCAGCUGCGGGGCUUUCGUGCAUCUUGGCCGGAACCCGUCCGUGAAGAUGACCCUGAUCAGUAUACUCAAGCAAGUAAUGCCGGAUUGGCACUGCGAAGAGUAUUUAUGGAACGGCUACAACUCUGAGGACAUGGAAGCAUGGGACGAGAAGAAGGUCAUCAAUAAACUCUGGGCAUUCUUAAAAACAAAGAGUUAUUUUGUUGUGCUCGUGGACAUGCGGAGCAUAUCGACUUGGAAGAAGAUCAGUUGUGCUUUGCCUAAUAAAGACAAGUCUUCUGAUAGGAUAUUGGUUACAACUUGUACCAAGGAUAUAGCAGAAUCAUGUUGCAUACAUCCUGGUGAUUUUGUUCAUCCGAUGGAGCGCCUUAGCGAGAAAGAUUCCAAAACAUUAUUUCAUAGUAAACUACCUGUUUCAGAACAACAUAGGCUGCUUGAAGUUUCU
RNAcentral lists this ribosomal RNA (1053 nucleotides) under Triticum aestivum (bread wheat). RNAcentral describes it as "partial small subunit ribosomal RNA". Lineage: Eukaryota; Viridiplantae; Streptophyta; Magnoliopsida; Poales; Poaceae. The record is from RNAcentral.